Anolis carolinensis (green anole) is the source of this 1625-nucleotide long non-coding RNA. NCBI's taxonomy places the organism in Eukaryota, Metazoa, Chordata, Lepidosauria, Squamata, Anolidae. The record is from Ensembl.
AUGUUCCUUUUCCUUUUAGAAUCCAUGGAAACUGAGUGUAAAAAGGCUAAAGACCAAGGAAGAAAAGGUAAAGCAGAGAGGGGGAAAUCCCAGAAAGCCUCCAAGGGCAAAAACUACUCUUCAAAGUCAAAAAGCUAUUGCGCCACACCAGAAAAACCACCUUUGUGCUAUUGUCAAUUUCCUGAUAGCAGAGCAUUUGAACCAAUUGAUGUCAGCUUCAUAGUUUACAAUGCAGAUGCAUCAGAACUGUCACAGUCACAUCUGGAUGAUGUCAUGGAGGUCACUGAAUCAUACGAGGAAUUGGUAGAUAAUCCAAGCUCCUGGAGGAAGGCUGCUAGUAAACCUGUAAGUGAAAACAUAGAGGAGAUGAGGCGCAUGGUGCCAGAAACAAAACCUCUGAGUCCGAAUGAAAGUGAUGAUGUUGUCAUUGAGGAAUGUAUUUCAGAUGAGUCUCAGUCCCUGAUAACAAGCGUAUCUUCUGAUCCCGCUGCUCAGAAGGAUGACCAGCAACCCCCUAAAAUCAGCUUCCUACCAACAGAACUAACCCAAAGUGAUAUGGAGAUAUUUUCCCUGUGGAACGGUAAUUAACCAUUUCUAUUAGGGUUUUUUUUUUUUUGUAAUUUAGAGACAAAUCCCAGCCUUAAACAUUUUACAAUGGAAAUGUUCUUAGGAACAAGUGGAUGGUGCUUGUACAUCAUGGCAACCAAAGAGCAUGGCCUGCUGGAAAUUAAACUAGAGUUGGCAUAACCCAGAUACAGUUUGGCAGAAGUUGAUCUCUAGGACUAAAGCUGUACGCAAGCAGAUAGUUCCAGACAGCAAAGUCAAAUACAUGUAAUGCACGCAUACACACUGAAUUGUACUCACCUUCAGGGAGACAUUGAUAUAUUAUAAAGCUGUAGAAUAUGUAUUCACAUUCCGCCAGUAAACUCAUGACAGAAUUUGUGGAAUAGGUAGGUUCAGCAGCUUAAGAGAACAACAGGAAAUGAUACUUUGUUUGCUAUUUCAAUGUUGAACUUGAUUUUUAAAUUCAUAAUACAGACACACCCCUGUUUUUAAAAGGCUCUUUUUACACCUGUCCAGCCCAGCUUUCUGUUUUUUCCUCUUGUCUAACUAGGUGGACUUUUGUAGCCACAUUGUCAUUAUAAGGAUAGUGGGAAACACAAGCUUUUAGUAUCAGGUUCCAGCAGUGUGUCCACAGUAAACAAGGCAAUAAAGUUUGAGCUGGGAAAGAAUUGGAUUCUGUUUUAGCCAAUACUACUGUAGCUGUGUAUGCCUGCCUGCAACAGGCAAGAAAAACACAAACUGGUAUUAAACUGAGCAGGUAUGAACAGUAAAACAGAGAGGAAAGAGAAAAACAGGCAAGAUUGCCUAACUAGCUAUCCCCAGAAUGUUGAAGAAGAGGAAGAGGAAGAAGAGAAGCCUCCAAAUAGAAACCAUAAGUGGAAGCUGGUGAAGAAAUGAAAUCAUUCCUUGAUACAUUUUGGAAGAAUUCAAAACAGAAUUCAAAACGAUCUUAACAGAUUAGAGAGAUGGGCCAAAACUAACAAAAUGAAGUUCAACAAGGACAAAUGCAAGAUACUCCACUGAGACAGAAAAAAAUGAAAUGCAAAGAUACAGAAUGGGGG